AUUGAACGCUGGCGGCAUGCCUUACACUUGCAAGUCGAACGGCAGCACGGGAGCAAUCCUGGUGGCGAGUGGCGAACGGGUGAGUAAUGUAUCGGAACGUACCUUUCAGUGGGGGAUAACGUAGCGAAAGUUACGCUAAUACCGCAUAUUCUGUGAGCAGGAAAGCAGGGGAUCGCAAGACCUUGCGCUGAUUGAGCGGCCGAUAUCAGAUUAGCUAGUUGGUGAGGUAAAGGCUCACCAAGGCGACGAUCUGUAGCGGGUCUGAGAGGAUGAUCCGCCACACUGGAACUGAGACACGGUCCAGACUCCUACGGGAGGCAGCAGUGGGGAAUUUUGGACAAUGGGCGCAAGCCUGAUCCAGCCAUGCCGCGUGAGUGAAGAAGGCCUCGG
This 390-nucleotide ribosomal RNA is filed under the name uncultured bacterium. RNAcentral's name for it is "bacterial SSU rRNA". It matches the Rfam family "Bacterial small subunit ribosomal RNA", at positions 30 to 420 of the family's 1533-position model. The record is from RNAcentral.